Molecule: ribosomal RNA, 465 nt
Filed under: uncultured bacterium
Lineage: Bacteria
Description: bacterial SSU rRNA
Rfam family: Bacterial small subunit ribosomal RNA
Source: RNAcentral
CCUACGGGUGGCUGCAGUAGGGAAUCUUCCGCAAUGGACGAAAGUCUGACGGAGCAACGCCGCGUGAGCGAAGAAGGUCUUCGGAUCGUAAAGCUCUGUUGUUAGGGAAGAACAAGUACGGGAGGAAAUGACCGUACCUUGACGGUACCUGACGAGGAAGCCACGGCUAACUACGUGCCAGCAGCCGCGGUAAUACGUAGGUGGCAAGCGUUGUCCGGAAUUAUUGGGCGUAAAGCGCGCGCAGGCGGUCUUUUAAGUCUGAUGUGAAAUCUUGCGGCUCAACCGCAAGCGGUCAUUGGAAACUGGGGGACUUGGGGGGAGAAGGGGAAAGGCGAAUUCCACGGGUAGGGGUGAAAUGCGUAGAGAAGUGGAGGAACACCAGUGGGGAAGGCGGCUUUCUGGUCUGUAACUGACGCUGGGGCGCGAAAGCGUGGGGAGCAAACAGGAUUAGAUACCCUAGUAGUC